Molecule: ribosomal RNA, 515 nt
Filed under: uncultured bacterium
Lineage: Bacteria
Description: partial 16S ribosomal RNA
Rfam family: Bacterial small subunit ribosomal RNA
Source: RNAcentral
GAUGAACGCUGGCGGCGUGCCUAAUACAUGCAAGUCGAGCGAAUGGAUUAAGAGCUUGCUCUUAUGAAGUUAGCGGCGGACGGGUGAGUAACACGUGGGUAACCUGCCCAUAAGACUGGGAUAAUUCCGGGAAACCGGGGCUAAUACCGGAUAAUAUUUUGAACUGCAUGGUUCAAAAUUGAAAGGCGGCUUCGGCUGUCACUUAUGGAUGGACCCGCGUCGCAUUAGCUAGUUGGUGAGGUAACGGCUCACCAAGGCAACGAUGCGUAGCCGACCUGCGAGGGUGAUCGGCCACACCGGGACUGAGACACGGCCCAGACUCCUACGGGAGGCAGCAGUAGGGAAUCUUCCGCAAUGGACGAAAGUCUGACGGAGCAACGCCGCGUGAGUGAUGAAGGCUUUCGGGUCGUAAAACUCUGUUGUUAGGGAAGAACAAGUGCUAGUUGAAUAAGCUGGCACCUUGACGGUACCUAACCAGAAAGCCACGGCUAACUACGUGCCAGCCGCCGCAGUAA